CAACUCAAACCUUCAAUAAAUGUCACAAUUCAGGUCUCUUGAACAUUUUUUGUCCUCCUUCACGUAAACCAACUUCCUCCGCAUAUUUCAUAAAUCCAGUUUUCGUAAUUGAUUUUCCUGGGUUCUUUUUUUCGGAGCUUCACUUGUGCUUCCCUCCAGGAAAAUGAAUUUUCUCAGUUCCAAACAGCUAGAAAUCUCAUAAAAAGUUUCAGGGAGAACAUCAGACAACAGAAGACGAAGAAAGGUGAGAGGAACAGCAGCAGAAAAUGUGCAAAAUGAGAAGCUAAGAUCCAUUCUUCUCCACAAGAUUCACUCGUUUUCCGUCGGAUUCUUCCAAGAACCUGCCAAAGAUCUUUACAUGAUUUAGCUAAUGCUAUAAGACCCUGAAAGACAAUUGCAUUGCUUGCGCAAAUCUGACGUGGAGGGAGAAGGAGACGAAUCAGUCGAAGGACGAACAAAAGCUAGUGCUAAGAUGCACUUUGGUAUCGUAAAUUGAGAAAAUUCCUUAUGCUUGCCGGGUCUACAAAGGAAUAACAUUUUCCGUCGGAAUGAAGUCAAAUGAGGAUGUUGUGUACAUAUAAAAUGCAAAAAGUAAUUUGG
Molecule: long non-coding RNA, 600 nt
Organism: Hermetia illucens (black soldier fly)
Lineage: Eukaryota; Metazoa; Arthropoda; Insecta; Diptera; Stratiomyidae
Exons: 4
Source: RefSeq, a predicted model, not a curated record